This 440-nucleotide ribosomal RNA is filed under the name uncultured bacterium. RNAcentral's name for it is "partial 16S ribosomal RNA". It matches the Rfam family "Bacterial small subunit ribosomal RNA", at positions 338 to 795 of the family's 1533-position model. The record is from RNAcentral.
CCUACGGGAGGCAGCAGUGGGGAAUAUUGCUCAAUGGGGGAAACCCUGAAGCAGCAACGCCGCGUGGAGGAUGAAGGUUUUCGGAUUGUAAACUCCUUUUGUUAGAGAAGAUAAUGACGGUAUCUAACGAAUAAGCACCGGCUAACUCCGUGCCAGCAGCCGCGGUAAUACGGAGGGUGCAAGCGUUACUCGGAAUCACUGGGCGUAAAGCGCGCGUAGGCGGGAUAGCAAGUCAGAUGUGAAAUCCUAUGGCUUAACCAUAGAACUGCAGUGGAAACUGUUAUUCUAGAGUAUGGGAGAGGUAGGUGGAAUUCUUGGUGUAGGGGUAAAAUCCGUAGAGAUCAAGAGGAAUACUCAUUGCGAAGGCGACCUGCUAGAACAUAACUGACGCUGAUGCGCGAAAGCGUGGGGAGCAAACAGGAUUAGAUACCCUUGUAGUC